Molecule: ribosomal RNA, 421 nt
Filed under: uncultured bacterium
Lineage: Bacteria
Description: bacterial SSU rRNA
Rfam family: Bacterial small subunit ribosomal RNA
Source: RNAcentral
GGAAUAUUGGACAAUGGGCGAAAGCCUGAUCCAGCCAUGCCGCGUGUGUGAAGAAGGUCUUCGGAUUGUAAAGCACUUUAAGUUGGGAAGAAGGGCAGUAAGCUAAUACCUUGCUGUUUUGACGUUACCGACAGAAUAAGCACCGGCUAACUCUGUGCAAGCAGCCGCGGUAAUACAGAGGGUGCAAGCGUUAAUGGGAAUUACUGGGCGAAAAGCGCUCGUAGGUGGUUCGAUAAGUUGGAUGUGAAAGCCCCGGGCUCAACCUGGGAACUGCAUCCAAAACUGGCGAGCUAGAGUACAGUAGAGGGUGGUGGAAUUUCCUGUGUAGCGGUGAAAUGCGUAGAUAUAGGAAGGAACACCAGUGGCGAAGGCGACCACCUGGACUGAUACUGACACUGAGGUGCGAAAGCGUGGGGAGCAA